AGUUGCAGCCUUUUUUCACUCUCAUCGCCGCCGUUUGCUUCGGGCUGCCGUUGCCGGUGCUGUCCUUGCCGCCGUCGGUACCUCCGGUUGUUCUGGCAGGAUUAGCGCUUGAUGGGUCCUGGCUGCUGCCUCUGCUGGGGUGGAGAGCAGUGGAGCGAUCGGCGAAGGAGGGAGGACAGGCAGAUGAGUGAAAGGAUGGCUGCAGGAUGAUCCGAAUAAAACCCAUGGAGAUAUCCGAGGAGCAAUGAGGAGAUUAGCAAUAGGGGAUCCAGAGAGAAUCGUUUCUGAUGAGUAGCAAGACAGCAAGGAACUGGAACGAGAGAGCCUGGGAGCAAGUAUUGAAGGAUAAACGAUAGAAAGAGAGGACAAAAUGGUUAAACCUGGCACAAGGAGACAACAAAACAGAAAAGGAAGACCUGAUCAUCUGCCUCAUGGUAGACAGCUCCAAACACACACCAACCUGCUCACAGCUCUGUGGAUAUGAACAAAAUGACCGAGUCAAAGUCUGGAGUCUAAUGAAGACACUGUCUGCUGAGUUGUCCGAGCACCUGAUAUGAGGAGGGCGGCCAGAGGAACAGACAUGAGAUUCACGGACAGGAUCUUUAGAGGAUUUCUAUAACAUUCAAAGGAACAAGGAAGCAGACCACUGACAUGUAGGAACCUGAGCAUGAAACUGGUUUCUGUGAAAAGGAGGACAAAUUGGAUUAACGUCAGAACUUGAGGAAAGGAACAACACAAGAAGAGAUGGGCCUGAUUACAACUCUUGUGGGCAAAGCAAUCUUGCAUCUGCCUCAGGGAGUCUGCUCCUCUUUAUGCUCCUCCUGAUUGGUCCCGAUGUGCUGCAGCUGCAGGAUCACACCUGCCACUCACACCCUGCAAGGAAGAGUUAAGGAGACCUGCACGCAGCUCUGUGUAUGUAACAUUUGCUGCCAGUGAUGUCUUACUUUCAGAAAUUAAAUUCAUGAGACAUAUACUGUGAGGACCAAGGUGUCCCAAUUUGAACCUCUACUGUAAAUAUAUAUGCCCAUCACAUUAGUGCUGCAGAAUCUGAUGCUUCAGUUCAUAGAUUGCGUUCGGAUCUGUUCUUUUUAAAGACCACAGGAAAUGAUUCACAUCACUUUCACACUUAUUAAUAUGCUGAAUGACCUCUGCUACCUUAAGAGAAGCCACUUGCGUCAGAAUAGCAAUUUACCAUCCCGGCAUUGAUCUUUUGGACCAGCUUCAUAAGAGGGUGGGAUCUCUUCUAGCUGCAUAUUGUGUAAAAAUACAAAAAACAUCAAAUGUCACACAAGGCAUGACUUUGCAAGUUAUCAAGAUGCUGUUUCAUUAGAUCACACAGGCAUUUGGUGUUUCUGUGUAAAUGUUGUUCACGUUUCUGUUCUCUUAACUAGAAUUCUAGUAAAGAAUAAUUAUUAUUAUUCUAGUAAAGCAUCUGAAAGAGUGAAACCUAAAGAAAUAGCAAAACAGGAUCUUUUAAACAGCAUUCUCAAUCAACUGACAAACUACUGGUAUGUGUUCAUCUUCACAACUUGUGCUUUGAGCUAUUAGUAUAUCGUUUCCAAGGGAUAUAUAUUUUUUAAUUAUUACAAAAAAGAAAAAGAGAAGAAUUAAGAAAAAUAUUUUCUGAAUCAGUACAUCAUGCUGAAAACUUUCCCUGUCGUUUUCUGGAGCUGAUAAUUUAGCCCCAUUCACCAUUUUGUAGUUUCUGUACAGUGCUAAAACAUUUUCGUUUCUUUUCUUGUAGUAACAAGGUCCCGUGUUCAGAUUCUUUCUGCAUGAGGUUUGUGUGUUCUGUGUUGCCCUGUGAUGGACUGGUGACCUGUCCUAGGUGUACCUCACCAAUCACUCAAUGACCUAGACCAGGGGUCAUAAUCUGGCAUAUUUCAUUAAAGUCAACUGAUUGUAACAAGGAUCAGAACCACAAUCUGGAGCCCAAAUGUUAAGUAAAAUACCAGACUGUCUUGUGUUUUGUUUCUUAAUUAUCUGUGUGGUAAGCUAGUGAGCAGAUGAAGACUGUAAAACUCUUGUUAUUCAUUUGCCCUAAAGUGACAAACGAUUAAAAAGCUAAUAUUAAUAAAAGCUUAUAACUCUA
Molecule: long non-coding RNA, 2092 nt
Organism: Girardinichthys multiradiatus
Lineage: Eukaryota; Metazoa; Chordata; Actinopteri; Cyprinodontiformes; Goodeidae
Exons: 2
Source: RefSeq, a predicted model, not a curated record